Molecule: long non-coding RNA, 1259 nt
Filed under: Homo sapiens (human)
Lineage: Eukaryota; Metazoa; Chordata; Mammalia; Primates; Hominidae
Description: HSALNT0112258
Source: RNAcentral
GUAGAUUAAAACUAAUAUUGGAUUUAGGGGGAAUGGCAAAGAUUAUUGCCACUCUUAAAGACCUUAAAGUUCAAAGGGUGGUGGCACCCAUAACAUUCUCAUUUAAUUCACAGGUCUUUUUUUUUUUUUUUUUUUCAAAAUUAGGUGAAUCCUGGAAGAUAAUAGUGAACUACCUAAAACUUCACCAAUUAGUGGCCCCCACUGCAGCAGCAAUAUCAGAUGUGAUGUCUUUGUUAAAGCAGAUAAACAUAGCCUCAGCCACUCAUUUGCAUUUGCCUACUGAAAGACAUCACAUGACUGCGUCACUCGGAUGAACCAAGAUAGUUGCAUUUGGAGAUAGAGCCUUCAGGAAGCUCCUUCUGUGUGGUCCAACUCUCUUCCGCGCAUAGGACACACACACAUCUUUCAGUGCUGCCCUCAGAGUCCAGCCCAUGCUUGCCAGCCCUCCCUUAAUCCCUGCCUUCCAGCAACCUGCACACUCAGCGCUCCACACAUUCCACAGGGUCAGUACCCAGCUCCCAGGGCUCUGUCAUCUUUGGAAGACCAGACGGUUGUUGCUAGGCAGAAUAUACAGGGCACAACUGUAGCCAACUGUCUAACUCAAGCCUAUUCAUGGUAUUUCUCUGUUUGCAUGGAUUAUGAAUCGAGGAAGCAAUGAUUUUUCAGUUUACCACACAAGCUGUUGUUCCUUGAUUAACUGUUAUGAAAAUGAUAGCUAUGUUCUAUGACUUUAAUUUUACUAAAAUUCUGAGAUGCAAAAUAAUAUUCAGUCUAUAUUAUUUGCAGGAGAAUGAUUAGCUCUGCAGAGUAGUAGGAAGUAACAAAAGAAAUAGAGGGCAUUGGAACUGUCUUAUAUAGCAAGGCACAUGUAUGGAUUGGGGCAGGUUUGUCCUGUGCCAGCUUUUUGUACUACUUAAUCAAGUGGCCUGAAAUCAACUGUGUAUGCCUGUACAAGUUAUGACUUCUGACACAUGGAGGUCACUUGAAAUCAAAUAGAGGUACAAUCAAGUUCUGGUUUUACCUUGUACUAGUGCUGUGAUAUAUGCUUAGUUGCUUUACUUUCCUGAGUUUUAAUUUCUUCAUCUGUAAAAUGGUGGUAAUAACAGUCAAUGUGAAUGUAAACGAGAACAUAUAUGUAAAGGGGCCUCUCAGUUUAUACAACAAAGUCAUUGUUUAGUAAAUGUGAAUACUUGCCCCACCAAUAAAUAUCUGUUACAUGGACUUGAGUGUAUAGUUGAACUUUAUUUCAAUCUUGAAAA